Neomonachus schauinslandi (Hawaiian monk seal) is the source of this 411-nucleotide long non-coding RNA. RefSeq lists it as uncharacterized. The record is from RefSeq and is a predicted model, not a curated record. The transcript is spliced from 3 exons. NCBI's taxonomy places the organism in Eukaryota, Metazoa, Chordata, Mammalia, Carnivora, Phocidae.
CCAAGGGGCUUCUUUCGAUCUCUGCUGCGGAAGAGAUGCUCAACAGAAAGUGAGAGUCAGGAGGGCUUUUUCUGGAGGAGGCGGCCACUUUGGCUUCGGGACAUGUACAGACCUCUCAAUGCCACACGCAAGAAGAACAUGGCACAGAAGCUGCAUGACAGGGAUUCUUCUGAUGAGGAUGAGAUUUUCAACAAGGAACUAGGAGCGAGAAGUGCAGACCUGGUAGAGAAGGGUCUGUUCACAGAUUCCACCGGUGAAGAGCUGGGUGACGAGAGCGACACUGUCCCCGAGAUCGUCAUUGAGUGAGCCCAUCCUGUCUCCGAUCGCCUACAAAGUUUAUUUUCUGAUAUUGGCUUCUCAGCAUUGCUUGUAAAAGACUUAUUUUUCUCAUAUUAAAAUGUAUAAAUUCCU